RNAcentral lists this long non-coding RNA (682 nucleotides) under Numida meleagris (helmeted guineafowl). Its description in RNAcentral is "lncRNA (ENSNMEG00000009136.1)". The record is from RNAcentral. Lineage: Eukaryota; Metazoa; Chordata; Aves; Galliformes; Numididae.
GGACAGGUGAGGCUGUGGAGCCAAUGCAGCCAUCUGCUAAAGGAGCAGCACCUGGCUGCUGGGAGCAGUGCCCUUGUCCUGGGGUGCUGUGUGCCCUCUGCAUGAGGAGCAUCUUGCUGCAGUAGGGAUGGAAAACACAGCUGGCUUCUGAGCAAAGCCUGAUGUGAUGCUCAACUGAUCCAAAGGUGAGACUGCAGCAUUGGGUCCCUGUUCAUCUCCCAGGGCUGUUGUCAGAGGGCAGGCACUGCUGGGUCACCCACCCUCUCCAGUCUCCUUUCUCAGACUGGUCUCAGGAGAGUGACACCUGUUGGGAAAACAUCAGGGUUUUCAGUACACGGUUUCUUUUUUCUGAAUAUUGGACAUGCCUGCUUGAUGGGCAUAAUGGAUAAGUUUGAGUUUGAGUGGUUCUGCUUAGCUGAUUGGUUUAAUUGAUUGGUUAGGUUUAAUUGAUUGGUUUUGAUACAGGGUUCCUAGUUGCCAGAGACAUCAGGCUGCAUGGCCAGUGAAGAGUAGGCAAUGCUCAGCCAAUCAUCCAUAUAUAUUCAUACAUAAAUGAGUAUAUUAUUUUGGGGCAAAAUAGUUUAACAUCUGCCUGAAGUUAUGGACAUGAGGUCUAUGUGGUCAAGGAAACACGUGGUCAAAUGUCAAAAUAAUGGCUAGGAACAGGGAGAGCCAAUGCAGU